This 1267-nucleotide long non-coding RNA is filed under the name Homo sapiens (human). RNAcentral's name for it is "HSALNT0362764". Lineage: Eukaryota; Metazoa; Chordata; Mammalia; Primates; Hominidae. The record is from RNAcentral.
ACAGGCGAGGGCGUUCGGCGACGUUACUGGGGCUGCACGGUGCUUGUAGCUGGGCAGUCUUAUCAUCAGAGUGGAGCCUGGUAACCACGACCUCCCCGCCAGGUCCUGUGUGUUGCUAGCUGGAGAAGGGUAGUUGAAAACUCAGACCAAGCACAGUGUUUAUAUCGGUCAAAACUGGAAAACUAUGUCCGGGCGCAGCCGAGGCUGGAGGAUCCCUUCAGGCCAAGAGCAACCUAGCAAUAUGGCGCGACCGGAUCUCUGUAGUCCUACCUCAACCCCCAGCUACUUGAACCCCAAGGUUGAAGGCUCCAGUGAGCUAUGAUCCCACCACAGCAUUGCAGCCUGCCAGACUGAGGGCUUGAGGAUCAGCCAGGUUUCAUGAGUUCAAUGCAGACCUGAAUCAUACCAAGCUGAGACUGGGGUACACACUCUCCUCUACUGAAAAGUAGUGAGGGAUUCCAACUUGGUGAGAGGGAGAGUGGGGGAGAGCCAGACCAGACAAGAGUGCUCACCUGGAAAAAGCCUGCCAUCAAAGGCCAUGACAUGAACUUAUGAAUUCAACACAUGAAGACUUACAACUUGAUAAACCAGCUUCAGGAGGUUCCUGAAAGGGAGAGAGGAAAUCUUCGAUUUUUCAUGGCUGUGAACCACUGCAAGUAUUGAAGAAAUAUUUACUACUUCCAGCCUCAUAAUCCUGCAGUCAUUUGGCACCUCUGAAGCCUUGGGGAGCACUGAAGCCAAGGCUGCACCGUACCAAAAAUUUGAAACAUGUGAAUGAGCUGAAUGUGGAAGGACUACCGGAAAACACUCCUUUCAGAAUCCCCUCAUUGCAUGAAAUCCCAAGGCUCGAAAACAUCUUUCAAGUGAGCAAUUGAAUUAAGUUUGUUAUUAAGAGUAACUCCAGUUAGCCUCCAUUGUCUCCAAGCCGGCUUUUGUCCUCAUCCACAACGCCUCCACACAAGCUCUGAACACCUGUCCAUUGCUAACUUGAGACUGCCAUGCUGUUAGGAAGUUCAAGUUCACCACAUGGAGAUGAAAUAAGAUAUCAUGAUAAACAUCCCCAGCUGAUCCCAGCCUCCAGUGAUCCAUCAACUACAUAUAUGAUCCUAAGUCACAUGUGUGACCCCGAGCAAGAUCAGCAGAACAAUCACUCAGCCAACCCACAGAACCCUGAAAAAAUAUAAAUCAUUAUAGUUUAAACCACAAGUUUUGGGUAGCUUGUUAUGCUGCUAUUGAUAAUUAAAACAAACUGGAAUAUUUUCAUCUA